This 465-nucleotide ribosomal RNA is filed under the name Vreelandella stevensii. RNAcentral's name for it is "partial 16S ribosomal RNA". It matches the Rfam family "Bacterial small subunit ribosomal RNA", at positions 338 to 795 of the family's 1533-position model. Lineage: Bacteria; Pseudomonadati; Pseudomonadota; Gammaproteobacteria; Oceanospirillales; Halomonadaceae. The record is from RNAcentral.
CCUACGGGGGGCAGCAGUGGGGAAUAUCGGACAAUGGGGGGAACCCUGAUCCAGCCAUGCCGCGUGUGUGAAGAAGGCCCUCGGGUUGUAAAGCACUUUCAGUGAGGAAGAACGCCUGGUGGUUAAUACCCAUCAGGAAAGACAUCACUCACAGAAGAAGCACCGGCUAACUCCGUGCCAGCAGCCGCGGUAAUACGGAGGGUGCGAGCGUUAAUCGGAAUUACUGGGCGUAAAGCGCGCGUAGGUGGCUUGAUAAGCCGGUUGUGAAAGCCCCGGGCUCAACCUGGGAACGGCAUCCGGAACUGUCAAGCUAGAGUGCAGGAGAGGAAGGUAGAAUUCCCGGUGUAGCGGUGAAAUGCGUAGAGAUCGGGAGGAAUACCAGUGGCGAAGGCGGCCUUCUGGACUGACACUGACACUGAGGUGCGAAAGCGUGGGUAGCAAACAGGAUUAGAUACCCUUGGAGUC